CACGUAGGGGGCGAGCGUUGUCCGGAUUUAUUGGGCGUAAAGGGCGCGUAGGCGGCGCGGUAAGUCACCUGUGAAAUCUCCUGGCUCAACUGGGAGCUUGCAGGCGAAACUGCCGUGCUGGAGUGUGGGAGAGGUGCGUGGAAUUCCUGGUGUAGCGGUGAAAUGCGUAGAUAUCAGGAGGAACACCUGUGGCGAAAGCGGCGCACUGGACCACAACUGACGCUGAGGCGCGAAAGCUAGGGGAGCAAACAGG
Molecule: ribosomal RNA, 253 nt
Filed under: uncultured bacterium
Lineage: Bacteria
Description: partial 16S ribosomal RNA
Rfam family: Bacterial small subunit ribosomal RNA
Source: RNAcentral